GGUAACGAAACUCCCAAUGUUAAAAGAGCACCAGAUUCCUAAUCUGGGGGUCGCGCGUUCGAAUCGCGCCGGGAUCACCA
RNAcentral lists this transfer RNA (80 nucleotides) under Sinorhizobium medicae. RNAcentral's name for it is "tRNA-Arg". It matches the Rfam family "tRNA", at positions 17 to 71 of the family's 71-position model. From Rfam's summary of the family: Transfer RNA (tRNA) molecules are approximately 80 nucleotides in length. Their secondary structure includes four short double-helical elements and three loops (D, anti-codon, and T loops). The record is from RNAcentral. Lineage: Bacteria; Pseudomonadati; Pseudomonadota; Alphaproteobacteria; Hyphomicrobiales; Rhizobiaceae.